RNAcentral lists this ribosomal RNA (2902 nucleotides) under Escherichia coli 2362-75. Its description in RNAcentral is "23S ribosomal RNA". Lineage: Bacteria; Pseudomonadati; Pseudomonadota; Gammaproteobacteria; Enterobacterales; Enterobacteriaceae. The record is from RNAcentral.
AAGGUUAAGCCUCACGGUUCAUUAGUACCGGUUAGCUCAACGCAUCGCUGCGCUUACACACCCGGCCUAUCAACGUCGUCGUCUUCAACGUUCCUUCAGGACCCUUAAAGGGUCAGGGAGAACUCAUCUCGGGGCAAGUUUCGUGCUUAGAUGCUUUCAGCACUUAUCUCUUCCGCAUUUAGCUACCGGGCAGUGCCAUUGGCAUGACAACCCGAACACCAGUGAUGCGUCCACUCCGGUCCUCUCGUACUAGGAGCAGCCCCCCUCAGUUCUCCAGCGCCCACGGCAGAUAGGGACCGAACUGUCUCACGACGUUCUAAACCCAGCUCGCGUACCACUUUAAAUGGCGAACAGCCAUACCCUUGGGACCUACUUCAGCCCCAGGAUGUGAUGAGCCGACAUCGAGGUGCCAAACACCGCCGUCGAUAUGAACUCUUGGGCGGUAUCAGCCUGUUAUCCCCGGAGUACCUUUUAUCCGUUGAGCGAUGGCCCUUCCAUUCAGAACCACCGGAUCACUAUGACCUGCUUUCGCACCUGCUCGCGCCGUCACGCUCGCAGUCAAGCUGGCUUAUGCCAUUGCACUAACCUCCUGAUGUCCGACCAGGAUUAGCCAACCUUCGUGCUCCUCCGUUACUCUUUAGGAGGAGACCGCCCCAGUCAAACUACCCACCAGACACUGUCCGCAACCCGGAUUACGGGCCAACGUUAGAACAUCAAACAUUAAAGGGUGGUAUUUCAAGGUCGGCUCCAUGCAGACUGGCGUCCACACUUCAAAGCCUCCCACCUAUCCUACACAUCAAGGCUCAAUGUUCAGUGUCAAGCUAUAGUAAAGGUUCACGGGGUCUUUCCGUCUUGCCGCGGGUACACUGCAUCUUCACAGCGAGUUCAAUUUCACUGAGUCUCGGGUGGAGACAGCCUGGCCAUCAUUACGCCAUUCGUGCAGGUCGGAACUUACCCGACAAGGAAUUUCGCUACCUUAGGACCGUUAUAGUUACGGCCGCCGUUUACCGGGGCUUCGAUCAAGAGCUUCGCGUUGCCGCUAACCCCAUCAAUUAACCUUCCGGCACCGGGCAGGCGUCACACCGUAUACGUCCACUUUCGUGUUUGCACAGUGCUGUGUUUUUAAUAAACAGUUGCAGCCAGCUGGUAUCUUCGACUGAUUUCAGCUCCACGAGCAAGUCGCUUCACCUACAUAUCAGCGUGCCUUCUCCCGAAGUUACGGCACCAUUUUGCCUAGUUCCUUCACCCGAGUUCUCUCAAGCGCCUUGGUAUUCUCUACCUGACCACCUGUGUCGGUUUGGGGUACGAUUUGAUGUUACCUGAUGCUUAGAGGCUUUUCCUGGAAGCAGGGCAUUUGUCACUUCAGCACCGUAGUGCCUCGUCAUCACGCCUCAGCCUUGGUUUUCCGGAUUUGCCUAGAAAACCAGCCUACACGCUUAAACCGGGACAACCGUCGCCCGGCCAACAUAGCCUUCUCCGUCCCCCCUUCGCAGUAACACCAAGUACAGGAAUAUUAACCUGUUUCCCAUCGACUACGCCUUUCGGCCUCGCCUUAGGGGUCGACUCACCCUGCCCCGAUUAACGUUGGACAGGAACCCUUGGUCUUCCGGCGAGCGGGCUUUUCACCCGCUUUAUCGUUACUUAUGUCAGCAUUCGCACUUCUGAUACCUCCAGCAACCCUCACAGGCCACCUUCACAGGCUUACAGAACGCUCCCCUACCCAACAACACAUAGUGUCGCUGCCGCAGCUUCGGUGCAUGGUUUAGCCCCGUUACAUCUUCCGCGCAGGCCGACUCGACCAGUGAGCUAUUACGCUUUCUUUAAAUGAUGGCUGCUUCUAAGCCAACAUCCUGGCUGUCUGGGCCUUCCCACAUCGUUUCCCACUUAACCAUGACUUUGGGACCUUAGCUGGCGGUCUGGGUUGUUUCCCUCUUCACGACGGACGUUAGCACCCGCCGUGUGUCUCCCGUGAUAACAUUCUCCGGUAUUCGCAGUUUGCAUCGGGUUGGUAAGUCGGGAUGACCCCCUUGCCGAAACAGUGCUCUACCCCCGGAGAUGAAUUCACGAGGCGCUACCUAAAUAGCUUUCGGGGAGAACCAGCUAUCUCCCGGUUUGAUUGGCCUUUCACCCCCAGCCACAAGUCAUCCGCUAAUUUUUCAACAUUAGUCGGUUCGGUCCUCCAGUUAGUGUUACCCAACCUUCAACCUGCCCAUGGCUAGAUCACCGGGUUUCGGGUCUAUACCCUGCAACUUAACGCCCAGUUAAGACUCGGUUUCCCUUCGGCUCCCCUAUUCGGUUAACCUUGCUACAGAAUAUAAGUCGCUGACCCAUUAUACAAAAGGUACGCAGUCACCCCAUUAAGAGGCUCCCACUGCUUGUACGUACACGGUUUCAGGUUCUUUUUCACUCCCCUCGCCGGGGUUCUUUUCGCCUUUCCCUCACGGUACUGGUUCACUAUCGGUCAGUCAGGAGUAUUUAGCCUUGGAGGAUGGUCCCCCCAUAUUCAGACAGGAUACCACGUGUCCCGCCCUACUCAUCGAGCUCACAAUAUGUGCAUUUUUGUGUACGGGGCUGUCACCCUGUAUCGCACGCCUUUCCAGACGCUUCCACUAACACACACACUGAUUCAGGCUCUGGGCUCCUCCCCGUUCGCUCGCCGCUACUGGGGGAAUCUCGGUUGAUUUCUUUUCCUCGGGGUACUUAGAUGUUUCAGUUCCCCCGGUUCGCCUCAUUAACCUAUGGAUUCAGUUAAUGAUAGUGUGACGAAUCACACUGGGUUUCCCCAUUCGGAAAUCGCCGGUUAUAACGGUUCAUAUCACCUCACCGACGCUUAUCGCAGAUUAGCACGUCCUUCAUCGCCUCUGACUGCCAGGGCAUCCACCGUGUACGCUUAGUCGCUUAA